This is a non-coding RNA of Nerophis lumbriciformis (worm pipefish), 639 nucleotides long. The record is from RefSeq and is a predicted model, not a curated record. NCBI's taxonomy places the organism in Eukaryota, Metazoa, Chordata, Actinopteri, Syngnathiformes, Syngnathidae.
AGUCGGUCCUAAAAAGUCCACUUAGAUCUUUUCCAAGUUCAACUUUAGAGGACAGAAUUGAGCUAGCUAGCUAGCUAACUCGUUUAGAAGAAAAUGCUUGGCAUCAGUAUAUCUGGUGGGAUGGAGUCCAGGGUCCAGCCGGUGGUGAAGGUGGAGGAGAUCUUCCCACCUGUGAGGUUGUGAAGGUAAAGAAGACUCAGGUGUCACCAGGAGAUGGACGGGUCACUCUCUCGCCCCACAGGCCGGGUUCCAGCUGGUGAGUGUACGGGAAGCCGUCAGCAACAAGGCCAAAGACCCCAUGGUGCUGGUGGUCAAAGUGCCUCACCAGCCUUGAAGGAACACAACAGCACACUCUAGUGGUCACUUUUAUAUUUGACCAUGACGCAUGUCAGCUUUAAUGAUCAACAUGUCACACUUAGUUAGUUCUGUGGACUAUAAAAGCAUCUUUGGUCCAAUCACAGUGGCUCUUUGUCUUCACCAGCAGCCAAUCAGCAGCCAGCAGUCUUCUCUUCUGAUGCAAUAAGUCCAAGUCCAGACAGUAUUUCAUAAAAAAUCGAUUCUCAUCGUAAUUGUGAUUUAAUUUGAUUCUAAAUCGAUUCAUUAUUUUCAAAAAUCAAUUCGUUUUUGUUGCAAUUUUUA